This 491-nucleotide ribosomal RNA is filed under the name uncultured bacterium. RNAcentral describes it as "partial 16S ribosomal RNA". It matches the Rfam family "Bacterial small subunit ribosomal RNA", at positions 28 to 507 of the family's 1533-position model. The record is from RNAcentral.
GAUGAACGCUGGCUACAGGCUUAACACAUGCAAGUCGAGGGGAAACGACGGGGAAGCUUGCUUCCCCGGGCGUCGACCGGCGCACGGGUGAGUAACGCGUAUCCAACCUGCCUCUGACUGAGGGAUAACCCGUCGAAAGUCGGCCUAAUACCUCAUGGUAUCGUCUGCGGGCAUCCAACGACGAUUAAAGAUUUCAUCGGUCAGGGAUGGGGAUGCGUCUGAUUAGCUUGUUGGCGGGGUAACGGCCCACCAAGGCUACGAUCAGUAGGGGUUCUGAGAGGAAGGUCCCCCACAUUGGAACUGAGACACGGUCCAAACUCCUACGGGAGGCAGCAGUGAGGAAUAUUGGUCAAUGGGCGAGAGCCUGAACCAGCCAAGUAGCGUGCAGGAAGACGGCCCUAUGGGUUGUAAACUGCUUUUAUGCGGGGAUAAAGUGAGGGACGGGUCCCUCAUUGCAGGUACCGCAUGAAUAAGGACCGGCUAAUUCCGUG